Molecule: ribosomal RNA, 497 nt
Filed under: uncultured bacterium
Lineage: Bacteria
Description: partial 16S ribosomal RNA
Rfam family: Bacterial small subunit ribosomal RNA
Source: RNAcentral
GAUGAACGCUGGCGGCGUGCCUAAUACAUGCAAGUCGAGCGAACAGACGAGGAGCUUGCUCCUCUGACGUUAGCGGCGGACGGGUGAGUAACACGUGGAUAACCUACCUAUAAGACUGGGAUAACUUCGGGAAACCGGAGUUAAUACCGGAUAAUAUAUUAAACCGCAUGGUUCAAUAGUGAAAGACGGUUUUGCUGUUACUUAUAGAUGGAUCCGCGCCGCAUUAGCUAGUUGGUAAGGUAACGGCUUACCAAGGCAACGAUGCGUAGCCGACCUGAGAGGGUGAUCGGCCACACUGGAACUGAGACACGGUCCAGACUCCUACGGGAGGCAGCAGUAGGGAAUCUUCCGCAAUGGGCGAAAGCUUGACGGAGCAACGCCGCGUGAGUGAUGAAGGUCUUCGGAUCGUAAAACUCUGUUAUUAGGGAAGAACAAAUGUGUAAGUAACUAUGCACGUCUUGACGGUACCUAAUCAGAAAGCCACGGCUAACUACGUG